AAAAAAAAGAUUUUAAUAUUCUGGACCCUCAGCCUCCAACAUUGGAGUGGGCCUAAUGCGAAGAUUGAGGCACUCAACAAAGGGGCCUCCAGUCCGUGCCAUCCCAGAACACUCACUGGGUCACUCCAGGCUUUGACCGCAGUGGCUGCCUCUUGUGUCUGAAGGCACCAGAAUGAAGGCUGCGUGUUGACCAGCCCCGAAGAUCUGAGCCUCUGUCCCCAGACAGGUGAUUCUGGGAUGGGCUAGGAUUGCAGGGACUUAACAAGGUGGAGUUCUCCAGAGGUUCCCUUAGCUCUGUCUCAGAGGAGAACAUGUGAAAGAGGGAGAAUGCCCUCCUGAUAAGAACCUAUGCAAAGAGCUGUGCCAGGGUGAUGCAUCAUGUCUGGCU
Molecule: long non-coding RNA, 388 nt
Organism: Cebus imitator (Panamanian white-faced capuchin)
Lineage: Eukaryota; Metazoa; Chordata; Mammalia; Primates; Cebidae
Exons: 3
Source: RefSeq, a predicted model, not a curated record